CAAUAAGCGGAGGAAAAGAAACCAACAGGGAUUGCCCCAGUAACGGCGAGUGAAGCGGCAACAGCUCAAAUUUGAAAUCUGGCUCCCCCCGGGGGGCCCGAGUUGUAAUUUGGAGAGGAUGCUUUGGGCGCGGCGCCUUCCGAGUUCCUUGGAACAGGACGCCAGAGAGGGUGAGAGCCCCGUACGGUCGGACGCCUAGCCCGUGUAAAGCUCCUUCGAACGAGUCGAGUAGUUUGGGAAUGCUGCUCAAAAUGGGAGGUAAAUUUCUUCUAAAGCUAAAUACCGGCCAGAGACCGAUAGCGCACAAGUAGAGUGAUCGAAAGAUGAAAAGCACUUUGAAAAGAGGGUUAAACAGCACGUGAAAUUGUUGAAAGGGAAGCGCCUGUGGCCAGACGUGCGCCCCGCGGACCACCCGUCGCUCUGCGGCGGGGCACGCCGCGGCGGCGCAGGCCAGCAUCGGCUCUCCCAGGGGGACAAAGGUCGCGGGAACGUAGCUCCUUCGGGAGUGUUAUAGCCCGCGGCGCCAUGCCUCUGGGGGGGCCGAGG
Molecule: ribosomal RNA, 546 nt
Filed under: Raffaelea sp. C2224
Lineage: Eukaryota; Fungi; Ascomycota; Sordariomycetes; Ophiostomatales; Ophiostomataceae
Description: LSU rRNA
Rfam family: Eukaryotic large subunit ribosomal RNA
Source: RNAcentral